RNAcentral lists this microRNA (21 nucleotides) under Medicago truncatula (barrel medic). RNAcentral's name for it is "mtr-miR2629e". The record is from miRBase by way of RNAcentral. Lineage: Eukaryota; Viridiplantae; Streptophyta; Magnoliopsida; Fabales; Fabaceae.
AGUUUUCCUCGGUAGUUAACU